CCUACGGGGGGCUGCAGUGAGGAAUAUUGGUCAAUGGGCGGGAGCCUGAACCAGCCAAGUCGCGUGAGGGAAGACGGUCCUAUGGAUUGUAAACCUCUUUAGGCGGGGAGCAAUGCCGGGCACGCGUGCCCGGAGGGAGAGUACCCGCAGAAUAAGCAUCGGCUAACUCCGUGCCAGCAGCCGCGGUAAUACGGAGGAUGCGAGCGUUAUCCGGAUUUAUGGGGUUUAAAGGGUGCGUAGGCGGAGUUUUAAGUCAGCGGUAAAAUGUCCGGGCUCAACCCGGGCCGGCCGUUGAAACUGGGGAUCUUGAGUGGGCGAGAAGUAUGCGGAAUGCGUGGUGUAGCGGUGAAAUGCAUAGAUAUCACGCAGAACUCCGAUUGCGAAGGCAGCAUACCAGCGCCCGACUGACGCUGAGGCACGAAAGCGUGGGGAUCGAACAGGAUUAGAUACCCUAGUAGUC
Molecule: ribosomal RNA, 460 nt
Filed under: uncultured bacterium
Lineage: Bacteria
Description: partial 16S ribosomal RNA
Rfam family: Bacterial small subunit ribosomal RNA
Source: RNAcentral